GCCUUCGUGGUGUAGUGGUCAGCACGCUCGACGCGUAUUCGAGAGGUCCGUGGUUCGAUUCCCGGCGAAUGCG
Molecule: transfer RNA, 73 nt
Filed under: Stegodyphus mimosarum
Lineage: Eukaryota; Metazoa; Arthropoda; Arachnida; Araneae; Eresidae
Rfam family: tRNA
About the family: Transfer RNA (tRNA) molecules are approximately 80 nucleotides in length. Their secondary structure includes four short double-helical elements and three loops (D, anti-codon, and T loops).
Source: Rfam by way of RNAcentral